GACGAACGCUGGCGGCGUGCCUAAUACAUGCAAGUUGAGCGCUGAAGGUUGGUACUUGUACCAACUGGAUGAGCAGCGAACGGGUGAGUAACGCGUGGGGAAUCUGCCUUUGAGCGGGGGACAACAUUUGGAAACGAAUGCUAAUACCGCAUAAAAACUUUAAACACAAGUUUUAAGUUUGAAAGAUGCAAUUGCAUCACUCAAAGAUGAUCCCGCGUUGUAUUAGCUAGUUGGUGAGGUAAAGGCUCACCAAGGCGAUGAUACAUAGCCGACCUGAGAGGGUGAUCGGCCACAUUGGGACUGAGACACGGCCCAAACUCCUAAGGGAGGCAGCAGUAGGGAAUCUUCGGCAAUGGACGAAAGUCUGGCCGAGCAACGCCGCGGGAGGUAAGGAAGGUUUCGGAUCGGAAAACUCUGUUGGUAGAGGAGAACGUUGGUGAGAGUGAAAAGCUCAUCAAGUGACGGUAACUACCCAGAAAGGGACGGCUAACUACGUG
RNAcentral lists this ribosomal RNA (497 nucleotides) under uncultured bacterium. Its description in RNAcentral is "partial 16S ribosomal RNA". It matches the Rfam family "Bacterial small subunit ribosomal RNA", at positions 28 to 507 of the family's 1533-position model. The record is from RNAcentral.